RNAcentral lists this ribosomal RNA (1433 nucleotides) under uncultured organism. RNAcentral's name for it is "partial small subunit ribosomal RNA". It matches the Rfam family "Bacterial small subunit ribosomal RNA". The record is from RNAcentral.
GCUUAACACAUGCAAGUCGAACGGAAAGGCCCUGCUUUUGUGGGGUGCUCGAGUGGCGAACGGGUGAGUAACACGUGAGUAACCUGCCCUUGACUUUGGGAUAACUUCAGGAAACUGGGGCUAAUACCGGAUAGGAGCUCCUGCUGCAUGGUGGGGGUUGGAAAGUUUCGGCGGUUGGGGAUGGACUCGCGGCUUAUCAGCUUGUUGGUGGGGUAGUGGCUUACCAAGGCUUUGACGGGUAGCCGGCCUGAGAGGGUGACCGGCCACAUUGGGACUGAGAUACGGCCCAGACUCCUACGGGAGGCAGCAGUGGGGAAUAUUGCACAAUGGGCGGAAGCCUGAUGCAGCAACGCCGCGUGCGGGAUGACGGCCUUCGGGUUGUAAACCGCUUUCGCCUGUGACGAAGCGUGAGUGACGGUAAUGGGUAAAGAAGCACCGGCUAACUACGUGCCAGCAGCCGCGGUGAUACGUAGGGUGCGAGCGUUGUCCGGAUUUAUUGGGCGUAAAGGGCUCGUAGGUGGUUGAUCGCGUCGGAAGUGUAAUCUUGGGGCUUAACCCUGAGCGUGCUUUCGAUACGGGUUGACUUGAGGAAGGUAGGGGAGAAUGGAAUUCCUGGUGGAGCGGUGGAAUGCGCAGAUAUCAGGAGGAACACCAGUGGCGAAGGCGGUUCUCUGGGCCUUUCCUGACGCUGAGGAGCGAAAGCGUGGGGAGCGAACAGGCUUAGAUACCCUGGUAGUCCACGCUGUAAACGGUGGGUACUAGGUGUGGGGUCCAUUCCACGGGUUCCGUGCCGUAGCUAACGCUUUAAGUACCCCGCGUGGGGAGUACGGCCGCAAGGCUAAAACUCAAAGGAAUUGACGGGGCCCCGCACAAGCGGCGGAGCAUGCGGAUUAAUUCGAUGCAACGCGUAGAACCUUACCUGGGUUUGACAUGGAUCGGGAGUGCUCAGAGAUGGGUGUGCCUCUUUUGGGGUCGGUUCACAGGUGGUGCAUGGCUGUCGUCAGCUCGUGUCGUGAGAUGUUGGGUUAAGUCCCGCAACGAGCGCAACCCUUGUUCACUGUUGCCAGCACGUUAUGGUGGGGACUCAGUGGAGACCGCCGGGGUCAACUCGGAGGAAGGUGGGGAUGACGUCAAGUCAUCAUGCCCCUUAUGUCCAGGGCUUCACGCAUGCUACAAUGGCUGGUACAGAGAGUGGCGAGCCUGUGAGGGUGAGCGAAUCUCGGAAAGCCGGUCUCAGUUCGGAUUGGGGUUUGCAACUCGACCUCAUGAAGUCGGAGUCGCUAGUAAUCGCAGAUCAGCAACGCUGCGGUGAAUACGUUCCCGGGGCUUGUACACACCGCCCGUCAAGUCAUGAAAGUUGGUAACACCCGAAGCCGGUGGCCUAACCGUUGUGGGGGAGCCGUCGAAGGUGGGACUGGUGAUUAGGACUAAAU